Molecule: long non-coding RNA, 571 nt
Filed under: Phoenix dactylifera (date palm)
Lineage: Eukaryota; Viridiplantae; Streptophyta; Magnoliopsida; Arecales; Arecaceae
Description: long non-coding RNA (PDAC_LNC020159)
Source: RNAcentral
UAUAUAUAUAUAUAUAUAUAUAUAUAUAUGUAUUGUGUGUGUGUGUGUGUGUGUUUAUCCAACAAUGGGGAUUAUAUAUUUGCUAAGAUACAUGAUAAUCAUGCAGAUAUGCAUGAUGGCAUAGUUGAAGCUCAUCAUAGAAAUCUCAAGCUCAUAAUGAAGCAGCUUAUGCAUUUCUUUGGUAAUAUGAAAGUGUGAGCCUUACAGAUACAUAUCGAAUUACUUUUUGGCAACGGUCAUGUUUUUUAUCAACAGAACUUGUGCUAAUUAAUUUUUGUGAUUUCUGGUUUUUUCUUCUGUUUUUCCUUAUUUUGAUGCGAUAUUAGAUAAUUGUGCACAUCAAAACCUAAUGUAUCCGGGUAGUUUCUUCAUUAGUUUAGGUUUUUCCAUUGUCAAAAUUUCAGAACGUAAUGCAUACCGGUUUAUAUUUCCAGUGUUUUGUCUUAAUGCAGAUCAGAGUACGAUACUAUUGGAACUUCUGCCAAAGCUGCUGCUGUUUAUCUUGGAACAGCAUUAGUGAAGGUUUGUAAUCUAUUGGCUUUUAAUAUCCUUCUAAAUAGACGAAUGGAGG